AGCUUUGUGCAGUGGCAAUAUCGUAGCCAAUGAGGUUUAUCCGAGGCGCGAUUAUUGCUAAUUGAAAUUACCAAGAACACAUACCUCUGGAAUAGCAUUUCUACACAUGUUUUAUAGGCUGUCAAUUAAUUCAUUUCUGCUCGUAUCACUGUGA
RNAcentral lists this small nuclear RNA (154 nucleotides) under Ailuropoda melanoleuca (giant panda). Its description in RNAcentral is "U4 spliceosomal RNA (ENSAMEG00000028759.1)". The stretch from base 1 to 116 matches the Rfam family "U4 spliceosomal RNA". Rfam says of the family: U4 small nuclear RNA (U4 snRNA) is a component of the major U2-dependent spliceosome. The structure of U4 snRNA from yeast and human has been reported. Lineage: Eukaryota; Metazoa; Chordata; Mammalia; Carnivora; Ursidae. The record is from RNAcentral.